AUCAACGAUCAUGCUAUCCAAGAACACUCUUCCAUGGCCUGAGCAUGAGAUGGCACCAACUGCCUCUGCUUCUUUUGCUGCUUUUCUGCUCCAACUCAGGUUAUUCCACACAUCAUCAUCACCACCACCACUACCAUAAUACCAAUUGAAAAUAAACAGUAGAUUAAGAAUUAUGGAUGACAAUAAUAAUAAACAACCCACAUAAUACUUUGAAUUCUGUAUCUUAGACAUAAUCCCUUCCAGUUAUCACUACGAAGAGCUCUUAGUUCUUUAAAGAAUCAAGAGAACAAAGUUUGACAAAUGUGUCUUGUUUGUCGCCCACAUACUUUUGGAGAUUCCAAUAUGAUGUCAUGCACAAGGGCCAAGCUUUUUACUUUAUUUUAUAUUCAAAUUUCUUUUAUUUUCUAUCUUUUUGUGGUUCUUGUUUUAUUAUUAUAGUUUAAGUAAAAAGAACCCUUUUGGAGAAGAAAAUAAUUCCUAAAGUCGUACUUAACAAAUUACUUGUUACUCCUAGAAUCUGAAUUCCAACACAAGCUUUUAAUUUCAUUAAAAAAAAAAGAUAUCACUCUUUUUUCGUUUUAUCAUUACAUAAUCUAAUCAUUUUUUUCUAAGUGUAUUUAGAAUAAGAUAUCCCUUAUCUAGAGUCUGGACUCUGUUUAUAAAUUCAUUACUUAGAUUUUUCUUUUUUUUAUUCAUUCUUAUAAUUCCAAUGAUUAUACAAUUCAUAUUGUAAACAGAAAAAUCUUUCUCUGUACCAUUUCAAAAAAAGUUGACAAGCUGAGCAUAUACGUGAAAGAUAUUUUUUCUUUUUCAUCACUUCGACAUGUAUGAAAAAAAAUAUUGUGACAUUUCAUUUCUUACAGCAUUCUCAAACUAAUCAUUUUUUAUAUAUCGCAAUGGACGAUUUCAACGUUUCGAAUCAAAAAGAAUAAUUACAAAGUAUAAUUGUAAUAGUUACUUAAUUUAGUCUCUCAAAUGGUCUAUAUUUUUUUUUUUUAGCAUAGAUAUAUUAAUUUCAAAUAUGUUAAAAUAUAAAUUUUUACGGAUAAUAAAAUAUUAUUUAUAAUACAAUUAUAUUUAAGACGAAAGCUUGUGUAUAAAAGAUAGAAAGACUUUCAAUUUUGAACUUUCAUUUUUAACCCACCAAUGCACAAGAAGCAUGUAUCACUCUCCUAGAUCACUAAGAUCAAAAUGCUUUCUUUUUCUUUUUUUUGUCUUUCAUUUUAAUCUCUGCAUCAAAACUUUUACCAGUCUUUUCUUUUUUUAUGUUUUUGCAGCCAGUUCUAACCACCUCAUAAAUCCAUGAUGUUUUUGCAGCCAUAGCAAAUUCAACAAAUUUCUUCUGCAUAUGACAUUAUUAUAUACAUAUAUCAUUGAGCAGGUCAAUAGGCAUUGACCUCUUCAAAUAAUGCACACCCCUUCAGUACAGUAAAUACACAAUAAUUAAAGUCAACAAGACAUCACCAUUUUAUCUGUAUACAUGGAGAAGGAACAGGAGCUCUUACUGAAGCUGCUGGGACAUCUUUGAUUUAUAAAGUUUUGGAUUUUAAAUUCAUUAAAUGCUUUUGGGACCAUCUUCCUCAGAUACUAGCUGGUUCAGCUUCUCAAUCAGUAAAUCAAAAUCAUCUUGUCUCUUGAGCAGGCUGAUACGCACGUACCCAUCUCCAACAUUAAACAAGUUACCUGGAUUACCAAUGAUAUUCCCUCCCUGAAGGACUGCAUAACAGUCUUUAUCUUCUUCUCUCUCACACUUGAGCCAUCCGUAAGCUGACAUAAAAUAUAUUUUACUACACAGUUAAAUGAUCAUCGGGAAUGCUAAUCGGAAUGUUUGUCGCAAUCUUUUUUAGUUCCAUUUCUAUUACCUGGGGAUGCUUCCCUGACUUUCUUGAAGUAGACGCAGUAUUGGGGCGGUAUUUUCUGGAUCGAGAAUCGCUUUGAUAUCGAUACGGUCUUGCUCAAUCUUUCCCAUCGUUUCCUCAUUGUCUCAUGUCCAAACUCAAAUAUAGCAUUUCCUCCUCCUUGAAGGACUACUUUCAGGAGCUUCAGAGCUCGUAGCUGACACUCUCGAGAAACUCCUAGUGUAUUUAAUUCCAAAUAUGUUAGCAUUCUCUGAUAGAUAACCUCAUCCUUUAUCACUGCCCACCUACAUUAUGUGGAAGCCAAGAAAACAUGACCAGUCUGGGUCUGUUCUUAAAUGAGAAUUUGUCAAAAUCUGCUGUUUUUAUUGUUACCCAAAUCUGGAUCCAGCGUGACCGGUGAGCUUGGAAAGUGUAAAUAGCAUUAUAUCUCCGUCUGCUGGAGCUGGAAUUGCUGUGUAAUGUGGCCAGAAGUAAGCAUGAUCAUAAACUGCUCUCACAUUAGAGCCUUCAAGAACUGCCUCGUUCAGCUGUCCAUCAGGAUUGUUUGGUGAAGUUACAAACUCUAUCAUCUCUGUACUUGUAUCUGAAUUGUUUCUCCAUAAUGAUGCAUCUCCUUGAAACCUGAAAUUCACCGAUUGGAAAAGGUCCGUCUGUUGUUUAUAAACCUGUCAGGAUCUUAUCAUCAAACUCAAGUAUGGGAUUAUAACGUCAUUAAUUGAAGAAAUCAGAUUUUAAAACCUGAAAUGGAAAUUCAAGUAAUGAAUGGAAACUAUUACUACUGUAUUCUGACCGGGUAAAAUGGGAUUGAAGCUACAACUCUGGCAGGGGAUGAGGAGUUAUCAGGGGAUAAAGAAUUAACUGCAGCAUUAAGUAGCUGGGUUGAGCCGGCACCAAAAAUAAUAUAUCUUCCUUCUGUUACUGCAUUCCUUACUGCGGCAUGGAGCUUGCGGAUGUGCCUUUCGAGUUCUGAUGAGAUUAAAGUUUGAUCACUGUAUACGUAGCUCAUUCGGUGCCAUCCUGCUACAACAACAGCACUGCUGGCGGCAUUCUGCAUCCAGAAGGGCUCCAGGAACAAUGGAUCCCCACUGUUACAAUACACAAAGAUUGUGUUAAUCUUGAUGAUACAGCCACAACAGCUAUGAUAUUUAAAGAACAUGGUUCUUUACUUCUUUUCUUUUUUUCUUCCUAUAAAAAAGCUUAUUUAUUUUUAAUUUUUCAGAAUGGAGAAAACAUGAAUAUGUGCUGCAAAACUACCCAACACCAGAAAGAGAUUGAAUCCUAAGCAACAUAAUCCAUCAGAAAAAAACCCAGCUACAUCAGAUUGCAGAGCAAGAAAAAUGCAAACCCGAGCAAUUGUAAACAGAGAAAUGGGACAAGAUGUCGGUGAUUACAUAAUAUAUUAAAAGAAACACCUAAAACAACAGAAAGCUAAAAGAGCAGAUCAUGGUGUAAAAUGCAGCAUAAGUGUUGGCAACUGAGAAGCCUUAGGAGCUUUAUGUAUCAAUGCCAUUACCAAUUUAUACCAAUUGGCCCAUUGGUUAAGUGAAUACAUGGUAUUUUCUACAGUAUGGCGACGACUUGAUAUAGUAAAUAACCAAAAAAUAUAUUUGCUCUAUAAAUACACCCAUCUGAUUCCAUUUUGUAAUUAGUAUUGUCUUGUGUUGGAAUAAACUUAAAGAGUUAGAGCAACUGAACGUCAGCCUGCAAAUGGGUAAUGCAAUUCUCAAAUUCUAAAUAGCAAAUACAACAAAUACAUACAUACAAAACAGAUCGAGCCCAAAUCAACUAUAUUUAAAGAAAGAAAAAAAGAAAGUGAGAAGUAAGACCUAUCAGCAUUAGCAGGACAGGAAGGAUCAAACUGGGAGCAGUCCACACCUCCAUAGCAAGAGUUGCAUUCACAGACUGGCUCUUUCUUUCCAUCAACGAUCAUGCUAUCCAAGAACACUCUUCCAUGGCCUGAGCAUGAGAUGGCACCAACUGCCUCUGCUUCUUUUGCUGCUUUUCUGCUCCAACUCAGGUUAUUCCACACAUCAUCAUCACCACCACCACUGCCAUAAUACCAAUUGAAAAUAAACAGUAGAUUAAGAAUUAUGGAUGACAAAAAUAAUAAACAACCC
RNAcentral lists this long non-coding RNA (3976 nucleotides) under Ricinus communis (castor bean). RNAcentral describes it as "long non-coding RNA (RCOM_LNC001750)". The record is from RNAcentral. Lineage: Eukaryota; Viridiplantae; Streptophyta; Magnoliopsida; Malpighiales; Euphorbiaceae.